GGGCCAUAGCUCAGUGACAGAGCGUCUGCUUUGCACGCAGAAGGUCCUGUGUUCAGUGCCCAGCAUCUCCA
Podarcis lilfordi (Lilford's wall lizard) is the source of this 71-nucleotide non-coding RNA. NCBI's taxonomy places the organism in Eukaryota, Metazoa, Chordata, Lepidosauria, Squamata, Lacertidae. The record is from the annotation of a GenBank genome assembly.